RNAcentral lists this microRNA precursor (61 nucleotides) under Anolis carolinensis (green anole). Its description in RNAcentral is "Aca-Mir-551-P2_pre stem-loop". It matches the Rfam family "mir-551 microRNA precursor family", at positions 9 to 67 of the family's 74-position model. Lineage: Eukaryota; Metazoa; Chordata; Lepidosauria; Squamata; Anolidae. The record is from RNAcentral.
GAAAUCAAGGUUGGGUGAGACCUCGUGAACAGACUGGAAGGCGACCCAUACUUGGUUUCAG